CAGCUUGCUGGGCCAAUACUGACGCUGAUGCACGAAAGCGUGGGGAUCGAACAGGAUUAGAUACCCUGGUAGUCCACGCCGUAAACGAUGAUCACUCGCUGUUAGCGAUAUACAGUUAGCGGCUAAGCAAAAGCAUUAAGUGAUCCACCUGGGGAGUACGGCCGCAAGGCUGAAACUCAAAGGAAUUGACGGGGGCCCGCACAAGCGGAGGAACAUGUGGUUUAAUUCGAUGAUACGCGAGGAACCUUACCUGGGCUUAAAUGUAGAGUGCAUGAGGUAGAAAUACUUCUUUUCUUCGGAACUCUCUGCAAGGUGCUGCAUGGUUGUCGUCAGCUCGUGCCGUGAGGUGUCGGGUUAAGUCCCAUAACGAGCGCAACCCUUAUCGUUAGUUGCCAGCGGGUAAUGCCGGGGACUCUAGCGAAACUGCCGGUGUAAACCGAGAGGAAGGUGGGGAUGACGUCAAAUCAGCACGGCCCUUAUGUCCAGGGCUACACACGUGUUACAAUGGCCGGUACAGAGGGCAGCUACCUGGAGACAGGAUGCG
Molecule: ribosomal RNA, 544 nt
Filed under: uncultured bacterium
Lineage: Bacteria
Description: bacterial SSU rRNA
Rfam family: Bacterial small subunit ribosomal RNA
Source: RNAcentral